RNAcentral lists this ribosomal RNA (564 nucleotides) under uncultured Glomeromycotina. RNAcentral's name for it is "SSU rRNA". It matches the Rfam family "Eukaryotic small subunit ribosomal RNA", at positions 548 to 1114 of the family's 1831-position model. The record is from RNAcentral. Lineage: Eukaryota; Fungi; Glomeromycota.
UUGGAGGGCAAGUCUGGUGCCAGCAGCCGCGGUAAUUCCAGCUCCAAUAGCGUAUAUUAAAGUUGUUGCAGUUAAAAAGCUCGUAGUUGAAUUUCGAGAUCAAUUUGUCGGUCGUGCCUCGGUACGUACUGGCAUUAUUGAUUUCUCCCUUCUGAAGAACCGCGAUGUCAUUAAUUUGGUGUCGUGGGGAAUCAGGACUGUUACUUUGAAAAAAUUAGAGUGUUUAAAGCAGGCGCACGCUUGAAUACAUUAGCAUGGAAUAAUGAAAUAGGACGUUUGAUUCUAUUUUGUUGGUUUCUAGGAUCGACGUAAUGAUUAAUAGGGAUAGUUGGGGGCAUUAGUAUUCAAUUGUCAGAGGUGAAAUUCUUGGAUUUAUUGAAGACUAACUACUGCGAAAGCAUUUGCCAAGGAUGUUUUCAUUAAUCAAGAACGAAAGUUAGGGGAUCGAAGACGAUCAGAUACCGUCGUAGUCUUAACCAUAAGCUAUGCCGACUAGGGAUCGGAUGAUGUUAAUUUUUUAAUGACUCAUUCGGCGCCUUACGGGAAACCAAAGUGUUUGGGUUC